GCUGGAGAGGUGCGGAGAUAUUACCCUACCUGUGGCUAUACUCAUUUCUCCAAUUCUCAAGGCACACGGAGAGUGGAGUGAUAAAUAUGCUCUGAAACACCUGAUUCCUCCCAUCAGCUAAUCAACCAGCUUUUCAUCAACUGAAUCUGAUGUAUCUAAAUAAGGAACAUAUGAAACUAUGCAGCUCUGCGCUCCCUGAAGACGAAACGGAGAAUAUUUCUUUGUAAAAGUAUCUUUUCCCUGAACUGCCACUAAAAAAUUCAUAGAUCUUAAAGUUCAUCGCUGACAAAGUUCUCAGCCUGAUGCCUGGCUGACCAGCAGAACACCCAGAGUCCCCUUUCAAUACUGUACACACAGUCAGAGUGGAUUAUUUACACCAGGCCCUGAGUUCACUCUCCUCAACCC
This is a long non-coding RNA of Astyanax mexicanus (Mexican tetra), 405 nucleotides long. RefSeq lists it as uncharacterized. The transcript is spliced from 3 exons. Lineage: Eukaryota; Metazoa; Chordata; Actinopteri; Characiformes; Acestrorhamphidae. The record is from RefSeq and is a predicted model, not a curated record.